Molecule: ribosomal RNA, 117 nt
Filed under: Lepisosteus oculatus (spotted gar)
Lineage: Eukaryota; Metazoa; Chordata; Actinopteri; Semionotiformes; Lepisosteidae
Source: RNAcentral
GCCAGCAGCCAUAUCACCCUGCAACUCACAGCUGGCAGCCCACUGAAGCUCAGCAGGUGUGAGCCUGGUCAGUACCUGGAUGGGAGACCUCCUGGCAACCUCCAGUUGCUGCUGGAA